Molecule: non-coding RNA, 113 nt
Organism: Acanthosepion pharaonis
Lineage: Eukaryota; Metazoa; Mollusca; Cephalopoda; Sepiida; Sepiidae
Source: the annotation of a GenBank genome assembly
UACGGCGACAUCACGCUGAAACACCAGUUCCCGUGCAACAACCAAAGUUAAGCAAUGUCAAGCCUGACCAGAACCUAGAUGGGUGACCGCUUAGGAAUACCAGGUGCUGUAAG